AACGAGGAGGAAUACAUUAGACCUGCUAAGUCUUUAACCUGGCACUAACCACCCAGCCCCCUCU
This 64-nucleotide transfer RNA is filed under the name Calliophis nigrescens khandallensis. RNAcentral's name for it is "tRNA-Ser". Lineage: Eukaryota; Metazoa; Chordata; Lepidosauria; Squamata; Elapidae. The record is from RNAcentral.